CCCUUAGAUGCUCUGGGCCGCACGCGCGCUACACUGGUCGAUGCAACGAGUUUCUUUCCUUGGCCGACAGGCCUGGGCAAUCUUUGAACAUCGAUCGUGAUCGGGAUAGAUUCUUGUAAUUUUUGAUCUUGAACGAGGAAUUCCUAGUAAACGCAAGUCAUCAGCUUGCAUUGAUUACGUCCCUGCCCUUUGUACACACCGCCCGUCGCACCUACCGAUUGAAUGGUCCGGUGAAAUCUCCGGACUGGCGUGAGUCGGAGCAAUCUGACAAACGCCGGAAAGUUGAUUAAACCUUACCAUUUAGAGGAAGGUGAAGUCGUAACA
Molecule: ribosomal RNA, 324 nt
Filed under: uncultured eukaryote
Lineage: Eukaryota
Description: partial 18S ribosomal RNA
Rfam family: Eukaryotic small subunit ribosomal RNA
Source: RNAcentral